Molecule: long non-coding RNA, 1060 nt
Filed under: Canis lupus familiaris (dog)
Lineage: Eukaryota; Metazoa; Chordata; Mammalia; Carnivora; Canidae
Description: lncRNA (ENSCAFG00040004366.1)
Source: RNAcentral
CCUCUACAGAACACUAUGGCUCUUCUACCCCUACAGCAGGGGGUUCCUUGGCAUAAGUGGAGUGAAAGUUCAUUAAUAAGAAGCAGGGCCGAAGGGAAGAAAAGUUUCACAUCAAGCUGAUCUCUGUAGCCAUUUUGUCUGGAGCCAGGAUCUGAAAUUGAGUGUUUCAAUUUAUGACUGUAUUUUAAGUGAGCUUUUUCACAAUCAUCUCUUGGGUUCUGCUGCAUAUGUGUAGACGGUACACCAAAAUGUCAUCUCCCAGCAGAGCAAAUGGAUUAAGGGUAGGAGCUCUGGAGUUCAAAUCCUGUCUUCAGAAUGUGCCAGCUGUUUUAUGUGAGUGAGUUCCUUAACCUCUCUGGUUUCCUAAUCUCUUAGUUUUCUCAUCUGUAAAACGGUGAUAAUAAUCAUACAUACUUUCUCGAGUUGUUUUGAGGAUUUAACGGGCAUAAAAUGCCUAGGAUAAAAUGCCUAGGAUAAUGCAUGAAAAAUGUGGGCUGUUUUAUUUUGGUAGAACCAAGCAAAGACCCGGUCAGAAUUAUUCUUCCUGGACAAGCUAGCUCUUUGAAUAAAGAGCUUUAAAUAAGCCUUAGCAUAACACACACGUUUGCGUGAGCACACACACACACACACACACACACACCCCUCCAGCCUCUGAGCUAUACAACAACCACCUCUUUUGAAGAUAUCAUGUCCACGUUACCAUUGGUCUUGCUGCACUGCAGGGCCUUUCGUCAUGAAAUCACCUCGCUGCAGGAAAUCAGGAUGUGGCAAUAUUGAAAUGCCUGCAGGAGACAAUAUGAGGUGCAGCACUGCUCUAUCUGACUGCCAGCUCGGACUCGCAAUGUGUUGAGGAUGGAUUGAAGAAUGAAAUCUGGAUUGUAUCACUGAGGGUUUUGAUGAAGAAAAAUGGAAAGCUGAAAACCUUGUGAAUUUAUAUCUGGCUCUGUAUCAAGAGAAGCGUCUCAUUCUCCAGAGGUGAUCCUGUGGACAGGGGUCUAGGUGAGACCUGCAUGCUAGAGACCACUUAAUGUCUUCUUAUAGAUGGAGAGGCAAAUUAGGC